UGACCCACCUUGCAGUGGUGACACCAUGAUCAUGAAGGUAGUUUUCUCAGCGAGCCAUGUCCAUUGCAUUUGGGAUGUGCUGCUCCCUGUGCUGCUCAAAUGUAGUAAACUGACCAGCACAACUUGUGAUCAUGGGGGGGUUGCAUUCUCACUGUCUUCCCCGA
This is a small nuclear RNA of Mesocricetus auratus (golden hamster), 164 nucleotides long. Its record names the gene U1. It matches the Rfam family "U1 spliceosomal RNA". Rfam says of the family: U1 is a small nuclear RNA (snRNA) component of the spliceosome (involved in pre-mRNA splicing). Its 5' end forms complementary base pairs with the 5' splice junction, thus defining the 5' donor site of an intron. Lineage: Eukaryota; Metazoa; Chordata; Mammalia; Rodentia; Cricetidae. The record is from Ensembl.